This 355-nucleotide long non-coding RNA is filed under the name Equus caballus (horse). RNAcentral's name for it is "lncRNA (ENSECAG00000058493.1)". Lineage: Eukaryota; Metazoa; Chordata; Mammalia; Perissodactyla; Equidae. The record is from RNAcentral.
AGUGAAGAGGCUGCAAAGUUAUCACAAGGGAGUAAAUUACAAAUGUUUCCUAUGCUCCCCAGAUGUGAUGUGUUCUGCUAAUCGAAUGCAUUAGGAUUUGCUUUAGAACGAAGUUACAUGGAAGAGUCACUGGAUGGGGGAUUUAUUUGGCUGUCACAAAUUCGGGUGCAAGCGAUUGGUACCAGGAGGAUUUAUGGCAACUGAACUUUAAGAAGACGGGAAUAGGGGCUGGCCUGGUGGCACAGCGGCUGGAAUCUAGACCAAGACACCACCCUAAUAACAGUAUGAGAAGAAGACAGAAGAAAUUGGGUCACUGGUAGUAUCACCAUACCAGCUCUAGUGUGCUUAUACAAGG